RNAcentral lists this ribosomal RNA (250 nucleotides) under uncultured bacterium. Its description in RNAcentral is "partial 16S ribosomal RNA". It matches the Rfam family "Bacterial small subunit ribosomal RNA", at positions 524 to 776 of the family's 1533-position model. The record is from RNAcentral.
UACGGAGGGUGCAAGCGUUAUCCGGAUUUAUUGGGUUUAAAGGGUCCGUAGGCGGAUCUGUAAGUCAGUGGUGAAAUCUCACAGCUUAACUGUGAACUGCCAUUGAUACUGCAGGUCUUGAGUAAAGUAGAAGUGGCUGGAAUAAGUAGUGUAGCGGUGAAAUGCAUAGAUAUUACUUAGAACACCAAUUGCGAAGGCAGGUCACUAUGUUUAACUGACGCUGAUGGACGAAAGCGUGGGAGCGAACAGG